UUUUUUUUUGUUGCAACCGGUAUAUAUUUUUGCUGCAACAGGCGAUUUGUUUUGCUACACCCGUUUCAUGUUUUUCUACAUUCAUUCAUGGCCGAGUUGAGUUCCGGGAUGACAUCGCCUUUUCUUGCUGCAACCGUUGUAGUUUUUGCUACACCCAUCGAGGAAUUUUGCUACAUCCCCUUUUUUCCUCGUGGAGCUGCAAGCUCGACGGCGGUGUUGAGGAUUUUUUCCUGCAACCGUUGUCUUCAUUUGCUACGACCGACACGGGAAAAUGCUACAACGGGCAUCUUUGUUUUUUGCUGGAACGAGUCAAUCAUUGAUGAGGCGGAGCUGCAUCCAUGACAAAAAAAAGCUACAACUCGCAUGAUUUUUUGCUGGAACCAGCUUUAGCAUCGGUUAGCCAGAAAACACUAGUAGAUUUCCUACCACGGGUCAGCUUGGGGAUCUCCGGCGAGUGCGGGCAGCCAGAACGGCGAGCACGGACGGCCGGGGCGACGAGCGCGGGGCGGCGCCAUGGCCGGUGCGACGAAGNNNNNNNNNNGUCGAGGAAUUUUGCUACAUCCCCUUUUUUCCUCGUGGAGCUGCAAGCUCGACGGCGGCGAUGAGGAUUUUUUCCUGCAACCAUUGUCUUCAUUUGCUACGACCAACAUGGGAAAAAUACUACAACGGGCAUCUCUGUUUUUUGCUGAACGAGUCAAUCAUUGAUGAGGCGGAGCUGCAUCCAUGACAAAAAAAGCUACAACUCGCAUGAUUUUUUGCUGGAACCAGCUUUAGCAUCGGUCAGCCAGAAAACACUAGUAGAUUUCCUACCACGGGUCAGCUCGGGGAUCUCCGGCGAGUGCGGGCAGCCAGAACGGCGAGCACGGACGGCCGGGGCGACGAGCGCGGGGCGGCGCCAUGGCCGGUGCGACGAAGCACGGGCGGCGCCCUUGCCGGGGCGACAAGUGAUGCGGCGGGCAGCCGGGGCGACGAGCGCGGGCGGCGCCAUGGCCGGGGCGACGAGCGCCACAGGCGGCGAGGGCGACGAGCACGGCCGGUGCCAAGGCGGCAAGCGUGGGCUUCGUGGUCGCGCAUCCAUGGCGGCCUUGACUGGCUCGCUCCUCUCUCUCUAUCAUCAUCAACCUCUCCUUCCGCCUUGCUGGAUCAAGAAGGAGNNNNNNNNNNNNNNNNNNNNNNNNNNNNNNNNNNNNNNNNNNNNNNNNNNNNNNNNNNGGGGCGACGAGCGAUGCAGCGGGCGGCCGGGGCGACGAGUGCAGGCGGCGCCAUGGCCGGGGCGACGAGCGCCACCGGCGACGAGGGCGACGAGCACGGGCGGUGCCAAGGCGGCAAGCGCGGGCUUCGUGGUCGCGCAUCCAUGGCGGCCUUGACUGGCUCGCUCCUCUCUCUGUUUGCUGGAGACGCUGAAGACGAGGAUAAGGUAAGGAAAAAAUAGAAUAAGAAGUUGCGAUCUGAUGGUCUCGUGCAGCCAGAUCGGGCGGCUGGGGCAGACCGGCCGAAACUUUCGGCCGCACCGGCGCCCAGUGCUGCCCCACCUUUAAAGGUGCCUGUGGAAUUAUACUCGUCGUGUAUGGUUGGUUUACCACCACUGCACGCUAGGUACUUACUUAGGUAGCCAGCUUGGGCUAUAUAUACGGUCGGUCCGAUACGUGCAAGGUGCAACAGCGCACCACAGAUCAGUCAGUGCAACGAACUCAUUUACGUACGAUCCUAGCUAGAGCUUGGACGAGGAUGUGCAACUGCGGUACGGUAGGACCUUCAGCUACGACCGGCAGCUGCACAUCCAUGCCCAAGCUCUACCUACUGUCGUCACUACUGUAGCUGCUCCACGCUCAGCGACCCCUGCGCCGCGCGUGUGCCCAUGGCGACGGAGGUGACCCUGCGCCGCUUCGACCUCUCGGACGUGGACGCCAUGAUGGCAUGGGCGUCCGACCCCGAGGUCGCCGCCUUCUGCCGCUGGGCGCCCUUCGCGUCCACGGAGACGGAAGCCCUGCUCGCCCACAUCCGGGACACCGCGCUCUCGCACCAGUGGUACCGCGCCAUCUGCCUCGCCGGCGACGCUCGCCCCGUCGGCUCGGUGUCCCUGGAGCCCACGGCUGACCCGUGCCGCGGGGAGCUCGGCUACGUGGUGGCCCGCGCGCACUGGGGCAGGGGCGUGGCCACCGCCGCCGUGAGGGCCGCGCUCGCCGCGGUGUUCGGCGAGGUGGAGGGGCUGGCGCGCGUGGAGGCGCUGGUGGACGUGGACAACGCGGCGUCGCAGCGCGUGGCGGAGAAGGCCGGGUUCCGCCGCGAGGGCGUCCUGCGGCGCCACUACUGGCACAAGGGCCGCGUCAGGGAUCUCGUCGUCUACGGCUUCGUCUCCGGCGACCCCUUGCCCCCAUCACAUGAGGAUGAGGUAUGUAAGCCACUCACUCGCCUUGGCCUCGUGCGUCCAGCGUCUCACUCUGUCCAACGAACUAGGCUCGGAGAUCGAUGGAGCGAGAAGCGGCAGCCCGGACGCCGGAGCGCGCGGACGAGGUGACCCUCCGGCCGUUCGACCUCGCCGACGCCAUGACGGCGUGGGCGGAACACCCCGUACUGGUACCGCCUACGGCCUCCAUGGCGUCGGGGGUCUACUUCUCCCCGCCCCGCGACGCCCUGCUCGCGUUCCUCCGGGGCACCGACCCUCCGCACACCUGGAUCCGCGCAGUCUGCCUCGGCGGCGCCAUCGUGGGCGCGGUGACCGUGUCGCGCACAGAGGACCGGUGCCGCGCGGAGGUCGGAACCGCGCUGGCGCGCGCGCACCGGGGCACGGGCGUGGCCGCGGCGGCCCUGAGGCGCGCGGCGACCGCGGCGUUGGGGGACCUGGAGGGCGUGGAGCGCGUGGAGGCGCUGGUGGACGCGGACGACGCCGCGUCCCGGCGCGCGGUGGAGGACGCCGGGUUCCGCCGCGAGGCCGUGCUGCGGAGCCACCGCGACGCCAAGGACGUGGUCGUCUACAGCCUCAUCUCCACAGACGACGACCCACUCAUCGGCUUACGCAGUUCAUGACGUCGUUGGCUUGUUGCCUUGCCAUGCGAUGCUAAUAAAAUUGACUCACGCAUCAUCAACACGAUCAAAUGUUACCAAGAAAAGAAACCGAAUUACAUUGCUGUGUUUCACUCUCAGCCGCGGAUUACAAGAAGGUGGUGCUGCUACUGUUCUGUCAGUCUCCAAGAGAUCGGAGCUUAUGUAUGAGAGAACACACGGGCUCGAUUAUUGAACUUUUUUGUUGAGUUGCGACUUCGACGGGAUCCCCAUGGAGACGGCGAGAGAGCACGGGCAUUGCAGGAUGCCGGCCGGCGAGCGAUCAGGCCUCCCAGCCGCGGAGGACGGUGGCGCGGGCGACGCGGUUGACGCCGAGGGUGAAGGCGCCCAUGCGGAGGUCGCAGUGGUGGGAGCGGCACAUCUCCUUGGUGUCCCGGAAGGCGCGGGUCAUGUACGUCUUGAGCUCCCGGUUCACCUUCUCCUCGUCCCACAUGAACCCCUGGAUGUUCUGCACCCACUCGAAGUAGCUCACCGUCACCCCGCCGGAGUUGGCCAGGAUGUCCGGCAGGAUCAGCACCCCCUUCUUCGCCAGAAUCUGCACCACGAACAUGUGCAUUUCUCCACUGUCAGUCAGUGUGUGAACUGAAUUAUGUCAACAAAUGCGAGCUUUGUUUUGUGGCAAAAUUUUGGGUGUUCUUGCCUCGUCGGCCUCGGGGUCUGUCGGGUGGUUCGCAGCCUCGAUGAUGUACUUUGCUUUGAUGGCAUCAGCAUUGUCCCUAGGAGAAGAAGAAAAUCAUGGUCAAGAACAGCCUUUUUGUUAACAAAAAUGUUUUCAGAUACUGAAAAAAAUAACAGCCAGGAGGAUACUAGUAUAACUGAACUUCGGAGGAGUAAUCUGAUAGAAGGUAGGAUGAAGUGAGCUGGGACGAGGAGAAAGGAGAAGAUUACUUGUUUAUGACUCCUCCCAGUGCUGCCGGGAUGAGGACGUCGCACUCUUCCGUGAGCAGCGAGGUUGGGUCGACGGCGUCUCCUCCGUCAAAGCCCUUGAUCCCGCGGUUCUCCGCCGAGUGCUUCAUCAGCUUGGCUAUGUCAAUGCCAUUGGAGUUCUUGACGGCCCCUGUGACAUCGCUGAUGGCGAUCACCUUGCCUCCAGCUUCAGUGAUCAGUUGAGCAGCCCAGGAGCCAACAUUACCAAACCCCUGAAAAAGGCAAGCGGCCAAUAAUUGCUUAUCUCUGCAAAAUGUAGGUGAAGAAACAUAGUUCUGAUCUUACUUUCUUUUUAGUAAGAAAAGUUCUGGUCUUACUCCCUUUUGUAACCAUAAAGUACAAAAGUGCGUAUUGUGCGAUCCACUGACGGCCACUUUUUAACUAGUACAUAUUUCUUAAAUCUAUGUUUGUAAUAAUAGAUUGAGGCUUCAUGACUCACACCACACUGAAUCCUCAGUUCAAUUACUUUUCAUCAUUUUAAAUUCAAAGAGCUUAACUCAUUAGCCUACACAUUAUUUAAUUACCUGGAUUACAAAACGCUGGCCUGCAAUGCCUUUGCCAUGCUCUGCAAGUAGGGCUUCAGUGGCAAACAGAACUCCCCUUCCAGUAGCUGCAUCUCUUCCCAGUGAUCCUCCAAGGUCCUGCGUUGAGCAAAAAAGUUCAGGAACAUGCGAAGAGGGAUAACUAGAAACCAGAUUUCUCUGGACAUUCAAAUCCUGGUGCUCCCACUUUUCAUCUGCAAACAACAUUUCCGUUGCACAUUACAUGAUAGAGUUUCAGGAUGAAUACUUACCACAGGCUUUCCUGUCACCACAGCAGGUGAGUAGCCAUGGAACUUUGAGUACUCAUCCAGUAUCCAUGCCAUUGUCUGAAAGCCAUGAAUGAAACAAGCAAAAGAAUCCACAUCAGAAUACAGAUGAAUAAUUCUCACAACACUCUGCAGAGAAAUAAUAAAUAUGCAAUGGACAAUAAAUACCUGUGCGUUGGUGCCCAUAUCGGGAGCUGGAACAUCGGUGUGGAUGCCAAUUAAGUCGUGAAUUUUCUGGGUGAAAACUCGGGUAAGCCGCUCGAGCUCCGAUAUGCUCAGGUCUCCAGGACUGCAUCCGAUGCCACCUUUAGCGCCUCCAUACGGAAUAUUGGCCACGGCUGUUUUCCAUGUCAUCAGUUGCGCCAAGGCAUUGACCUCGUCAGGAUCAACCUGAAUUUUUAUCAUAGCUUGUCAGUGCAAGAACUUACUACGAUCAUGGUUGCCAGUGUCUUGAACUUGCAUGCACAUGAUCGAAUUUUAUGGAAACCAAGUCAGAAUGUGAUCCAGUGUAGUAGCUUUAGUGAGAUGUGACUAAUUUCCAAAAUAGCUUUGUUCUGCUUUACUGCAAGUAGACAUUGCAAUUGCAUAGCUAGGUAUGGGCUGAACAAUAAGUCAUUCAACUAUCUGACAGGUUCCUGAAGGAGAUCGAAUUUAUGCUGAAGGACCAUUUCAAGUCGGCGACAGUGCGGCAAGAAUCAAGUGCUUAAUGGCUGGUUGUGUCAUGAUGAACAGAAGAACCCAGGAAUAUAUAUACUUAUGUGUGCUCAGUUGCUCACCUCAUGGUGGUAUCUGAUUCCACCCUUCAUAGGGCCCCUGGCAUUGUCAUGCUGCACCCUAAACCCAACAUAGGAUGCUAAUGUCCCAUCAUCUUUCGGAAUUGUGCACUCAACCUGCAACCACAAGCUUCAUUGUUAUACUGAAUAAUGGAACAAACAGUUCACCUCACAUAGACAGGACACAUGCUCAUAAAUUAGAAGGGUCCUGGACACAGUUUAACCUUACAGAGUAAGUGGCCAAGAGGCCAGUUCAACAACUUUUUUGCCAUAUUCAGCAGGAAAAACAGAAUAAAUUAACAUGGAUACGGGCUACGGCAAGCAAGAGAGUGUGAAAGAAAAUCAAGUGAAGUCUCUCGCAAAAAAAAAAAAAAUCAAGUGAAGUAGUAGGUUGGAAAAUGUCAAAUCCGAAGAUAAUCUGGUAGCCUAACCAGAAACUCAUAAAUUUACAGACCAGAUAAGAAAUAAUCGCAGGUCAACUACCAUAAGUCCCCAAGGACCAAGGUGAUACUACUUCUCAAUAACCACUGAACUCCAUAGAACAAAGAGCGUAAAUCGCUAUCCAGAUUCACUCAUUCACAGCAAAAUAUGUAUAAUCCGGGAUCAAGGAAUAAUCACCUUGAUCUCCCUGAAGGGGAUGAGCAGGCUCUUCUCGAGCUUGGAGUCGAGGCCCAGCAGCUUGGCCGCCUGCUUGAAGUUCCGGCUGGUGGCCGCCAAUGCGUUCAUCCUGCUCGACGAAAUUCCCCCUCCGGAGCCGCCGCGCCUGAAAAAGAGAUCGAGAACCCAACAUCAUCAGUAAAAUCCGAGAAACCAAAUCACACGAGACAAAAAGAUUAAACUCUGCGCGAGGAACCAGAGGAUAAUCUGCUUUUAUAUUACCGACGAGCAGAGUAGCGGCGAAGUGUUGUUAGUGGCGAGAGCAGGGGGGAGGCAGCGGCACAAAGACUAUGGAGGAGUUUCAGGUAGGCCGUAUGCAUAUGUAGGCACACUGAACCCCUCGGUGGAUUUGGGUUCCGUUCAAAAAGCAGAGGAGAUUUUUUUUUUCUUUUUAAUUUUAAUUUGUUUUUGUUUUUUUUGUCUCUACCAGGAUAAGAACAAGAUCUGGUUCUCGGCCUGCCUGCAAUUAAUUUCCCUGGAAACCCGAGCCCUGUCUGUAAUCAAUACCGUAAUUAACUAUUCCUAGCCUACUAGUACCAGAUUGAAGAGCGUCAAUCUAUGCCAUGGAAUCGACCAUCUACACUUUUAUUUAGUUUAGAGGUGCUAUCUAUACGUGCUAGUAGGAGCUUACUAACAUCUACAGUACAAAAAUAACACUGUUCUAGGGCCAACAUCUGAAUGAAGAUUCAGACUGCCGACAGCUGCGCUUGUUUUGCUGAGAAAAUGCCCAGAAUUUGAGCCGCAAGCCAGUGGAAGGGGUGUUCAAGGAAGCCUCUGCAUGUGGCAAUUUCAGAUUGCUCAAAUCGGUUGUAUGUAUGCACUGUACUGAGGUGUGCAUGUACGGGCUUGUACAGCUUGCGCCAGGCAAACUGCUGAUACGCUGACGGUGCUGAGCAUCCAUGCACGUGUAACAUGUGAUCCCUGACACUUCAUGCUUACAAUACAUGUCUGUCAAACAGUCAAGUAUUCCCUCCGUAAACUAAUAUAAGAGUAUUUAGAUCACUAUUUUAGUGAUCUAAACGCUCUUAUAUUAGUUUACAGAAGGAGUACGUACUAAAUAUAAGGCUUCUUAGAGAUUUUAUAAUAGGGACUAUAUACAGAUGUAUAUAGACAUGUUUUGGAGUGUAGAUUCACUCAUUUUACUCAGUAUGUAGUCUGUACCAAAAUCUCUAAAAAGCUUAUAUUUAGAAAUGGAGGGAGUAGUACUUAAUUACAGCUACAGUUAGAGCUCAACAACUUGGUCUAGCAGUUGAGUGAUACUACUACUGUAGAAAUCAGUUGUCUGUACUUUGGCCGCCUGUAAGAGAUGGAAAUUUCAGAAGCAACUUGGCGAAAAAGCACAUGGCUGACUCAGCUGCGAUGCUCCGUGGAAUUAUUUGGCUAACCAUGCAGUCUUGCACUGUUUUGCAUAGCGCAAUCUAAAUAAUUGGACACAAAGACACGUGUAUCCCAUGGGUCAGGGGGUUGUUGGCAAACUCGGAUUAAGGCUAGCUGAUGGUCUGCCUAGGAUGUGUGAAGCAUAUGCCAUAUGCCGUAUGUUAUUUAUUUAUUUGAUUGACAACACAUAUGCCAUAUUUUGUUUGUGUCAUAUGGUGACAAGAAAUAUAUCAUAUGUCAUGGACAGGGCUGGUAUGAUAAUUAAACGAACCUAUUAGUAUGGCUAAUGCCAACUUUGGCUCAAGAUAAGAGGGCAUAAGUUCCAGGAAGAUGCAUUCGCCGAAAAGUAGGGGCAGAUUGGGGGAGCAGGACAAUCCCAGAACGGGCAGCAAAAUCAUGUGGAGAAGAAGAAGAAGCAAUAGGGAUCGAAAAGUGGUUUAGCUGCUUUUAGAUGCAUGGAUUCCAGAUUAUGCAAGGCCUGCAUUAUUUGUCCUGUUUUAUGCUAUCUCUUUUUUAAUGCCCCAAAAUGAAUGACAAAACAAUCGCCCCACUAUCAGUGCAGAUAAUGAUAAUUAAGGUGAUGCUUUCAAAUCAGAGGAUGAUGAAGGCAAAUAUUCUCAAAUCAGAGGAUAAUGAAGGCAAAUAUUCUCAUAAUCAGAUCCCGGAUUAGGUAGCCGUAGAUGAACAAGCCCAAUCAAAGCUGCAUAAUACUAGUACUAGUACAGAGUUCAGAGCUUGGAUAAACCAUCAGUAACUCAUUGAUCUUUCUCUGGCCAUGUGAUCACUGCUAACACUAGCACACUACCAUGUAAAGGAAACACAAAGGGAGAGAGGGUAUUACUUUCUUGCAGCACCUGAUCAGGAUGAGUGAAUCCUAGCGGCUGAGGGGUUUCACCCGUGCUGCCCGCUCUGUUGUGGCAUUCAGGCAGAGGGUUACAAGGGGUUUUAUAGGGAGAAACCGGCUGGGAAUGAUACACGGAAUUAGUUCGGAGAUAUGGGGGAAUAAACGAGGAUCGUAUAUUUCUCCAAGGACUUUGGACGAUUCCAUGUGCUUGGGUUGAGUUGGCCGGGUUGCAUUGCAUCGAAUUCCAUUUCAUUGCUAUUCGAGGGCCAAAUGGGCAGAGGGUCCACGCCCCGAAUUCUCAGUCUAGUCAGAAUGGAGCUAUAGAGAUUAUGUUCGCAAACUGGUAACUAUGCUCGGUUGGUUAGGUAUCCUGUGCUAGAAUACACCCAUCUGGAUUUAAGUCAUAUACUUGCACUCUCAGACGAGUGCUCGUGUUUUUCUGAAUUUAUUCCACAAUUUUUUUCGCUAUUUUCUAGUGGAAGACGUCUUGCGCCUUGACUAUGAGGUGCCUAUGAUGAGAUUUACCGGUUUGGUCUCUUGGAGAAGAGUGCUCGUAUUUUCAUGAAUUUAUUUUGUAAUUUUCGGCGCUAUUCCUUAGUGGGAUACGUUGUGCACCUCGAGUACGAGGUGCCUAUGAUGAGAUUUGCCGACUCAGACAUGCUUGUAGGGUCAAAGUGUGUGCGCAUGCCUUUUUGGGAGUGCACUUGUGUGUGAGCAUUUGUAUUUCCAUAGAAAGACUGUGUGUGUGAAAGAGAGAGAGAAUAUGUAGUAAGUUCUUCGGAAAUAAGCGUAUUUCAGACGCACCUCAUCCACCUUGCCUUCACAAUAAUGCGUCAAGCGAUGAUUAUGACAAAUCUGGUCCAGAAGAUAUCCUCAGGGAGAGAGAGCAAAUCAUCAAAUGCAGAGCAACCGAAAGCUCCAUGUCAUGAAUUAUGACGAGAGACGCAUCCUCUUGCAUCACCGGUGGAAAACCGCGGAAUAUGGAACCAAUCGCAGGAUGCGCCGCGCAAAUUGGCGCAAUUGGAGUCCAGCGACAUGGCCACCGCCUCUUCCCAAUUGCUUUAGAAUUCUUUCCUCGUAGAUGGAUGGAUGGAUGACUUGUGUUUGUUUCGUGGACAAUGCAUAGAUUACUACUAGACCUUUACUGCCGUGUCAUGGAUGUAGCAUCAUGCUGCAUUAGGCCAAAAAAGCACGCCCAAAAGGGAGGUUCUCUCAGCAGAAAAGUGUAUGUGUUUCGUGUGUGGAGAUUCCAGCCUUUGUAUGCACCAACUUGUGAUGAGUCUUCAGUGUCACUCAUAAGUCUCCUUUCAGGGUUCAUGUUAUUUUUUCCAAGAAUAUUUUAAAAGCUUUGUUUUGGGGAGUGCUAACUGGGAAGGAAGCUAUCUAGGGAUUUCUGGAUUUCAAAGGAAUUUGAGAGAACAGUAAAAUUCCUUGUACAUGUUGCAAGAAAAGGAAUGAUGAUUUCUUUGGAAGAGGAGAAUUUCGGAGAUCGUUUCGUUUCCCGUAGGAAGAGGAAAUGUUCCCACGUGUCAACCGGGGAUUAAAUCGAGAUUCAAAUUAGUUUCAACAUCAUUAUAGAAAGAUAUUUUCAUAUUGGAGACUGAUACUUUUAAACUUUAAUAUAGCUGUGUGCAUCGUAAUGAUGCAGAGGCGGGGUGAUCCUUCUUUUUCUAAAGACAUUUCAGAGAAAGAAUAUUUAAAUGUUGGGUUUGUCUAGGACACAUCUAGAUGUGUCAUAGUUAUUGCACAUCUAAGUGACACAAUCAAGUAUGGAAAGAAAAAAGAAAAGAUAAAAAUAAAUACCCACACGAAUCUCCGUGUAAGAUCAAUGACGUAAGACUUAGAUGUGCAAUACUUAUGGUACAUCUAGAUGUGCUUUAGCAAAACUGUUAAAUGUUAUAUGGAUUUUUUUUUGAGAAAUAUCAUGUGGCUGUUUUUCCCUGUGCGAAUUACUGCAAAUUCCUCAUGUAACAUCUUUUGGGAUUAACUACUUUGUUUGCAGUUAUUUACAUAAAACUGCACCUGUUAUUCUUGUGCAGUUCAUUGAUUUUCAUUUUUCUGAGACCCAGAGAAGGCCUGAACUUCAUGCACAAUAGGUGGAUGGACUUGCGUGCUGGAGUCAAUGCCUACCAUUCGGUGUAAAGGGAAAAGGCAGACAGUCAUUUCCCAAUCUGAAUGUUGAUUAGGACUACCACUUACAAGAAAAUAAAUAAAUCCUGACCAUAGCACCGUUCUGUUAGAUCUAUUUUCGAGUCAUCGUGUUAGUGGUGCUAAUUUUAAUUUAAAACUUAAGACAGCCCACUUGAGCUACAGCAAAGAGGCCGAAAUGAUAGUCAAAGUUGAAGAAGAGAAUGUGACACCUCGAGUUUGCAAGAGCGCGUGACCUCUCGAGUACGCAAUAAGCACAAAGAUGAAGAUGUUAAGACAGUGGGUUGGUUUGAGUUAGGGCAUCUCCAACGCUAUUCGCUAAAGCCAACACACUAUUCAUCCGGGGUCCAUUCGUGGAUCACAUACGGAUGGAUCCACGGACAGGACACGGGAGCCGGUCAUUCAACUUUGUCCCUCAAAUAAGCAUCAGAUCCGAAUAGCAGAAUUGGGCCAAGCGGACCUGGACGACAAAGCACAUGGAUCGUGAUGACAUAUGGUCCAACUGACAGUGGGUCAAGCAGACCUCUACAUGCUGCCUGGACAACCGUAAAUCAAUUAUUUGUUUGCUGCCAUGAUACUAGAAUUCAGACAUCUAGAUUGGUUUGUGGACAUAUACGGGUCCCCAUUUGAUGACAAAAGUGAACAAAAUUGGUCCAGACACCAUAAUCUGGAUAUUUACGAGAGUUUUGAGGGCACAUGCUUUCGAGAUGCCCUUAGCCCUAAGGGUUCUCAAAAGAAUCGGGAAACCAAACACACUACGUUUCCUGACUGAUAUGCACACAACACUUGAAUCAAACGGGGUAGGAGUGUUGGCCAUUGUGUGGUGGCCGCAGCAUGCCGACUAUAAAUCCGCAGUAGUAUUUUCGCAUAGAUAGCAAGAUUAUAAAAUAAAGUAGAAUAGAAACAGACGCAAACGGAUCUUUGCUUCCGAACAAAACCCUGCCAUCAAAUAGGUUGUCCCAGGAGCACCAUAUUCUAGGAGCCCAAGUUAUGCCAAAUGUUGCGCUCAGGCAUUACUCAAUAGAGGUGCAAGGCAUGCCCAGACAACCACAAUAUGAACAAAUUGUUGUGAUUUAUGUUCAUCAUGGAGCGAACUAAUUGAAUUGUAAAUUCAAAACGUAUUUAGUCAAGUGUAAAAACGAUGCAGCCAGGCCAUGUUCCAGGAAUUAUCCACUAUCUUACGUUCUACAGGUUCUUCAGUCUGUAGGCUCCGGAAGUCAGCACUUUGUGGAUGGCAAAGGGAUCUUCCCAAGGGUGAUGAGAGCUUGUGCAUCCUCUCCUUCUGAAUCAGGCAGAGCACAAGGUCGCCGACCUAGUGCUCGUAUAUUUUACUGGUAGAUGGGAUGAGAGAUACAAAGAAACAACUGUGUGUUUCGCAAUACUUCUAGUUGGAUGAAUGCUACGGACCUAGUCACAAAGAUCUUUGAGGAGCUACAGUUGUGGACCCUAGCAGGAAGAAGAGGAGUCAACGUGUGGUGUGAGUAGUAGCGUGAGGUAGUAGGAGUAGGAGUAGAGUGUCAUUUUGCCUUAGCCGAUCUGUGGCUUUGAGGCCUCAAGUUCUUGUAAAUACUCUUUCCAUCUUCUAUAAAGGUACGGUACGUAUUUUGCAUACUCUAAAAAAAAGGCAUCCUUUUUAGAGAAUUUAAUCUGCUCUAAAACAGAGUAUACGCCUGUGACUGUGAGCCCAGUUGAGCUUUUGAGCUUUUUUUUACUGAAGGCUGAAAUCUUCAGGAGUACCAAGGGGCAUUAGAGAACGGAGGGCACCUAGAUUGAUCUGAAAGACUAGUUUGAAGCUGCCCAUUAGUCUCUUCUCACAAAACUGUUCAUGACAAUUCAAUGUGACAUAUCAACAGAGUCCAGGUCCAAGCAAUCAAUGUGUUUGUUUAGCAACCAAUACAUUGCAUCACCGGCCAAGAUCUUCUAUACACUACAAAAAGGUGCUACUACCAGGAAAAGAACAGUGCACCGAGACAAACCACAUAGUAGAUACUAAUCAUCCACAUACAUAUUAAUCACCAGCCAGGUCCAAUGGAAGUAAUCUGUGUCAGAUUCCAAGUAUUCUCAGCACCCUUCAAAGGAAGUAAGACAGGGAUAACUGUAUCUUUACUUGUGAUCUCAUCAUCCACAUACAUACUAAUCAGUUUGAGUUUCAAAAAAAGUAAAAUUUGUCAAACCUAUCAGAUUCAUAUAUCAAACAAGAAAGAACUGCCAUGGUCGCCAAGAAUUAGAUCUAUAAAACAGAAAGAAAAAAUAACAUAAAGGACACGUUUCCAGGAUAUAAGCUGGCACAAAGAACGCCACCAAUCAGGACAUACCACACGUAAGAGAAUAGCUGUAGCGUCCGAGACUAAUUACUGCGAGGAACACAAGUCAUCCUCAGGAAUUGGUAACGAACGCGCAUCAAACCAAGAAACAAACAGUAAGAAACAUACAGACUACUCCACAGAUAAAUCAUCAAUUUGGGGGAGCUCAGACAGCCAAGGGGUCGUCCGCAGAUGCCACUGAAGAGGAGGCAUCAGAAACUCUAGUCCACAAAUUUGUCAUCACCACUACAACAUCAUGGACCAUCAAAACUAAAAAUAAGAAACAAACCAAAUCGAGAUUCAUCAAGAAUCAAAAGAGCGNNNNNNNNNNNNNNNNNNNNNNNNNNNNNNNNNNNNNNNNNNNNNNNNNNNNNNNNNNNNNNNNNNNNNNNNNNNNNNNNNNNNNNNNNNNNNNNNNNNNNNNNNNNNNNNNNNNNNNNNNNNNNNNNNNNNNNNNNNNNNNNNNNNNNNNNNNNNNNNNNNNNNNNNNNNNNNNNNNNNNNNNNNNNNNNNNNNNNNNNNNNNNNNNNNNNNNNNNNNNNNNNNNNNNNNNNNNNNNNNNNNNNNNNNNNNNNNNNNNNNNNNNNNNNNNNNNNNNNNNNNNNNNNNNNNNNNNNNNNNNNNNNNNNNNNNNNNNNNNNNNNNNNNNNNNNNNNNNNNNNNNNNNNNNNNNNNNNNNNNNNNNNNNNNNNNNNNNNNNNNNNNNNNNNNNNNNNNNNNNNNNNNNNNNNNNNNNNNNNNUUGCUGUUUGGAAAAGAAAAAAAUGACAUCACAUUGCUGUUUGGAAUUUGUAGGCGGCAUUGGUGGGGAUUUAUAUAAAAAAAUUGAAGGUGGGGAUUUUUCUAGGGUUUUCCUCUUCUCUUUGCGGGUGCAGAUGGGGCAGGCCGACGCAUCCACCUGCGUGAGAGGCAGACAAGGCCACAAGUAGACGCACUUUAUUUCCUAUUUGCCACCUUUAGCGGCGCAUCCGUAGGGAGCUAUAUCUCGCUUAUAGUGAGAUUUUUUAGCAAAGGUAGCAGGCCUUAUUGAACAUCAAGAAUGUUACAGGUAUUAUGAGCGUAUCAUGCAGAUUGCCUAACCAAAUAUGCCUUCCCUGAUACCCAAAAAGAUGAGGAGAGUUCUGUUAAAAGCUAUGCAAUGAUUAACAGAGUUUCUGCUGCAACAUCUACGCCAGCGCCAAUGCUCUGAAUCUGAAAGUUCUGUUUAAUGAUCGCUUCAUCCACCAAAUGAAUGUAGGAGUAGGCAACAAAUUCAGAAGCAAAACCAAAACCUCAAGAAAGAAAAACAUAGCCUAGGGGAAGAUAUGCACAUUUCUUACAUUAAUAAAUGUGCCAGAAGACAGGUAACACGACGCAGUUUGGUAAUGCGUCGUGCUGUUUAAUGCUGGCCAGUGUUUCCGAUUAAUCUAUGCUUCCCUCUACAGGAUGACCAAACUGUUAACAGGAACAAACACAUAACAUUUUCCAUUGAAGCAUUGUUUUUGGGCAGGGAUAAGAUAUAACUAAGUAUUUCCUCAGUUCAGGUCUCCAAAUUGCUUCCACACCACGCCAUGAGGUAGCGCAUCAGAAGAACGAAAGUAUUUAGUUUGAUCAUCAUUGGACAGUUUUCAACAUCAGAAAACAUGAGAUAAACAACAAAAACCAUUAUUUGGGGCGGGAAGAAGAUAAAAUGAAGUACUUCCUCAGUUCAGGUCUGAAAAUUGCUUCCGCACUGUACCAUGAGAUAGCACAUCAGAAGAACGAAAGUAAUUGGUUUCAUCAUCAGACAGUUUUCAACAUCAGAAAACACAAGAUAGACAACAAAAAACCAUUGAUUUGGGGCAGGAAGAAUUUAAAUUUAAGUAUUUCCCCAAUUCAGGUCUCCAAAUUGCUUCCGCACCGCGUCAUGAGAUAGCGCAUCAGAAGAGCGAAAGUAUUUAGUUUGAUCAUCAUCAGACAGUUUUCAACAUCAGAAAAAAUCAGAUAAACAACAAAAACCAUUGUUUUGGGCCGGGAAGAAGAUAGAAUUAAGUGUUUCCUCAGUUCAUAUCUCCAAAUUGCUUCCACACUGUGCCAUGACAAUAAUAAGAAGUAACUUUCUGAGGGCACCCUCAGAACAUUUGCAUAAUUGUAUCACAGUAUUUUUCUUAGGAUAUUUGUCCAGCCAUCAGGAGGCAAAAACAGGAACAAAAUGGCAACUAGAAAACAAAUAAAUAACAAUAUGAGGUAUGUCAUUGCUUCUGAUCGCUCUAGGUGAUAAUAUAUAUCUCAUCAACACAUGAAUCAGACAACUAUAUUUUACGAACACAGGUGAGCACCACUCACCAGGAUCCAAGAACAACAAUCUGCGGUCCAGAAACAGACUAGGAAAGAAGAAUCAAACUGCAGUAUCCUCAGUUCAGGUCACCAACUCUUCCAUAUUCAAGAUUUUCGGAACAAGGAACGUACCAUUGUGAUUGAUGGUUGAGCUGUCAGACAAUGCUUUCUAGGCAAACGCACUCAAUCAAGCAGAAGUGAAGAAAGAGGAUAAAGGAAUAAUAGAAGAUCAAAUCAGUAUCCCUCAGGUAAUAUGCUUAUGUUUUUCAUCAACAGAGAAAACUCAGGUCUCAAAGAUGUGCCAUCACUGGACUUACAGAACUGAACCGAAUAGAAAAGGAUAAAUUAAAAUCAGGCAAUUUUGGAGAAUGUUAUUCGCUGGGGAAGCAACUAUCCCCAAAAGUCUAAAACCCAAAAUGGGGCGUGGCCAAGUGGUAAGGCAGCUGGUUUUGGUCCCGUUACUCGGAGGUUGGAAUCCUUCCAUCCCAGAUUGUUUCUGAUGAAACAAACAGUGAAAUCAUACUUGUAGCUAAGAGAACAAUGCUUUCAUCUGUUAAAACCUCAGAAAACUGCAUAAAUUUUCGCCACUUAAAAAUCUGACAGUAAUUCCAACAUGUAGCUAAUCAUCAUGGGCAUAACCCUGUACUUAUCCAGUUGGGCUUCUCUUGGCUGAAGGCUGAAAUCUUCACUUAACUAGGAGUACCGAGGGCAUUGGAGAACUGAAGGCAACUAGACUGAUCCGAAAGACUAGGUCAAAGCUGCUCAUCAGUCUCCUCUCACAAAACUGUUCGUGACAAUUCAAUGUGUUUGUUCAGCAAAAAAUGCAUUGCAUCACCGGCCAAAAUCUUCUACACAGGUACUACUAGAAAAAUAACAGUGCACAGAGAUUCAAAGUAUUCUCAGCAUAUGUACAUACUAGGAGUAAUCUGUGUCAGAUUCAAAGUAUUCUCAGCACCCUUUCGAGGAAGUAAGACAGGGAUAACUGCAUUUUUUACUUGUGAUUGAUGGCAGAUUGUAUGACGAGUCAGAAGUAGCUGGUUGAAGAUCUCAUGUUUAUUACAAAUCAAUGGGAAUCCGAAUGAUUUUCUUCUUCAUACUCGCAAUCCAAGCCAAAUCAUGCUGCACAAGAUGAUGGAAGUAAUCGUGUCAGAUUAAAAGUACCUAAAAUCUUAAAAGUGCACGCGCACUGUUUCGCGACACCGAGCGGCGGCGCUACGCGACAGCGGACAGCGACCUCACACGCUCAGUCCAUCUCUCCACUAAAAGAAAAAAGGAAAAUCUUCUCCACUCCCGAGCAGCACGACCUUCUUCCUCCACUAACCACCGCCGCUGUGCACCCCGCCUCCUCCGGUCCUCCCUCGCGCCGCCUCCUGACAACGCCAACUCGCCGUCGCGAUUGCCCAUCGCCACCCCAGCAGGCCUCGCAUCUUUCCCUCCAGGGCGCCACCAUGAGCCGCCGCAGGAAGCAAUCCCCAACCUCCGGCGCCGCCGCGACUCAUCUUCUGCGAUGGGCACACGCCGCUCCGCGGCUGCGCACAGCUGUGAAUCCUCGCACUUAGCCGUGAGGGCUCCAUCGCCUACUCAAGUGCCCAUCACAUGCAGGUAGUAUUCCCCUUCNNNNNNNNNNNNNNNNNNNNNNNNNNNNNNNNNNNNNNNNNNNNNNNNNNNNNNNNNNNNNNNNNNNNNNNNNNNNNNNNNNNNNNNNNNNNNNNNNNNNNNNNNNNNNNNNNNNNNNNNNNNNNNNNNNNNNNNNNNNNNNNNNNNNNNNNNNNNNNNNNNNNNNNNNNNNNNNNNNNNNNNNNNNNNNNNNNNNNNNNNNNNNNNNNNNNNNNNNNNNNNNNNNNNNNNNNNNNNNNNNNNNNNNNNNNNNNNNNNNNNNNNNNNNNNNNNNNNNNNNNNNNNNNNNNNNNNNNNNNGAGGAUUCAGCCGUGAACUUGUUUGGAUUUAUAGGAAUGAAUAUUGUUGGAUCUAAAUCUGGUUAAUACUCUGUCAUUUUCCUACUUCAUAAAUUUACUUUGGAAAGUUCAUAUAUUUAGUAGUCUGGACACGGGAAAUUUAAUUGCAAUGUUGAUUCAACUUGGGUUUUCUAUGGCAGCUGGAGUAGAAAAUACAAAUUUGUAGUGUAACAACUAUAGUCUAAUCUGCCGGAUAUUGAUGGGAGCAAUCAGAUUUUUGAUGUCUGUGCAGUUCAUCUACAUGUUAUUGACAAUUUUUAUUCAGACAUCUAAUUCACCUCCACAUAUGCUUGUCUAGUCUGCUACCUUACCCAAAUAGUACUAGUACUGAAAUAUUAACAACAUUUUCAUUCUCACAUAUUGUUAACUCAACCUCUUCUAGGUAUUUUUUCAGGAAAUGCAGUCAAAUUCAUGUACAGAUGCAUCACUUUUGUGAUCCUACUAGUCAAUCUCCGGUAUGAUGCUUGGAACGUUGAUGAUUGGAGUGUUGAUCUAUACAGGAGUUUCGGCAUCUUUCUCAAGGAGCUACGUCGACUAGGAUGAGUGGUGGGUUUGUACGGCGGUUAGGAUUAUAGUGGUGGGUUUGAGUUGGAUUUUCACGGUGAGCUGUUCAGAUUUUGUCACUACUGGUAUGGUUCAUGAUCCUUAUUUGAUCCAUCUAUUCUUGCCUAGACUGCAAUUGUCUCGUUAAACAUGAUACUCUCUGUAGAGCUUCAUUACAUUAUUGACCUCUUUUUCUCGUAAAUGCAUCCGUGUGGUUUCUUUGUUUUCUCAUAAGUCGCAUGCAUAUAAGUAACCAGUUGGCUAGUUUGUUGUAAUAGUUGCACAUGAACGCAAAUGUAGUUGGAUGACACAUAUACAUGUCUCAGUUGGCUAGCCAACUUAUGAAGUUGCACAGUGAAGGCUAACCAGUUGCACAGUCGAUGGUAUUCUUCUGCAGCAGCCGCUGAGGUAACAUAAAAUUCCACCAGGGAUAUUUUUUACUCCACAUAUAGGCAACCAAGUGUAUUAAUUUUCAUACAUAGUUGCAGAAGGACUAAUUAAGCAUUGGCAUGCUGAACUUUCUCAGUUGCUCAACGUUGCAUCUUCAAGUUUUUUAGAAUUGUCCCAAGAGUAUGUAAUGACUUGGCAUCCUCAGACUUUCUAGUUGCAGAAUAGUAUCUAAUUAGUUGGCAACCUCAGUAAUUCUAGUUGCACAACAAUAUACAACUAGUUGACAUCCUCAGCUUCUCUAGUUGCACAAGAACUCAGAUUAGUCCCAUCUAAAAAAAUUGAGGAUUGCCCAACAGUAUCUAACGACUUGGCACCCUCAGGUUUUCUAGUUGCAGAAGAGUAUUUAUUUAGUUGGCACCCUCAGCAAUUCUAGUUGGACAACAGUAUCCAAGUAGUUGACAUCCUCAGCCUCUCUAGUUGCACAAGAAUUCAGAUUAAUCCCAUCUUAAAUUUUUUGAGGGAUUGCCCAACAGUAUCUAGUGACUUGGCACCCUCAAGUUUUCUAGUUGCAGAAGAGUAUCUAUUUAGUUGGCACCCUCUACGAUUCUAGUUGGACAACAUUAUCCAAGUAGUUGACAUCUUCAGCCUCUCUAGUUGCACAAGAAUUCAGAUUAAUCCCAUCUUAAUGUUAGGAUUAAUCUUGAUUAUGUAUCUGCGUUGUAUUUUCGUUUAGCAUGUAGUCUAGUGUAGGUUGAUGUUUGUCCCGUGAAGCUUCAGCUCAGCAUGCAGAGGAGGCGAGAUGUUGGGCUGCCGUGCGAUACGGCGAGCACGGCGAGAUGCCGAUGGCAGCGUGAGGCUGCAGUGCUACGCGAGGCAGCAUGGCCGUGUGAUGCGGCAAGUGCGUGAGAGGCUGGAGCGUGACGGGCUGCAUGAAGAGGUUGAACCGGGCGAUCCGGCAAGUCAUUAUCAGUUGUAUACAUGCUAGUUUGGUUCGGUCUAUGGCCGUUCAUGAGGCUGCCCAAGUACUGGCCGUGCAUGUAGUUCUGCAUGUUGAGGGGGUUAGAUGCAUAGUCGUUAGGAUCCUGCAGAGAUGCCUGGAGUAGGAUAAGGCCAGUUAGUGGGUGUGGUAGUGCAUGCAUGGAUUAGUUUGUUAAUGGCCGAGCAUGGCGGCCUGUUAGUUCGUGCGUGACUUAGUGGCCCGGCCAGGUUGUGCGUGAUGGCCAACAGUCUAUGUAUAUAUAUGUCACACUGAGCAAUGAGAAAAUAGAGGCCGUGAGGGCUCAAGAGAAAAGAUGUAGCACUUGUGGUUGCCAAGAAAGAGUACCUCUCGGCAAAGUUAGUUGUUUUUCUUCCUUGUUAUACAUGCGUGUGUGUGCAGUUUCACCAUGUGUGUGUGUGUUCUUGAGAGAAACCAUAGAAGAGAAGAAGAGAGGAACCCAAAUAGAGUUGUGGGAGGCAGCUCGAGGUAGAAGAAAAGCAGCGCUGCCAGAGGCGGCGCCAACACUUGAAAAAUUUGAGGAUUGCCCAAUAGUAUCUAAUGAUUGGCACCCUCAGGCUUUCUAGUUGCAGAAGAGUAUCUAUUUAGUUGGCACCCUCUGCAAUUCUAGUUGGACAACAUUAUCCAAGUAGUUGACAUCCUCAGCCUCUCUAAUUGCACAAAAAUAUCUCAUUAGUUGACAUCAUCAGCAUUUCUAGUCGCACAAGAAUAUCUCAUUAGUUAUCAUCACAAGUAUUUCUAGUUGCAGAACAAACAGGAUAUCAAGUUACCAUCCUCAACUUUUUAAUCUAGUUUUCCAGAGAACAAAUAUUUGUAUGUAAUGAUAACUAAUCACCUCUACCUUUUUUUUGCAAACCCCAAGAUAUUGUUCAAGGAAAUGAGAGUAAUGAAGCAAAUAAUGUUGAACGACGGUCACAAGCUGGCUACCUGAUGGAGACUGCCUGGUACGCCUCUCUCCUCCCUCUUCUUUACCACUUCCGUUCUUGCGUUCAUUGCUUUGCCAUUAUAGCUCUGUUUUGGAUCCAGGCUAGGACCCUUUCUUUCGUUGAAAAGAAGGAGCCCUGUGGAGAAGGAAGUGUGGGCGAGGGGUGCAUGGAGGCUUCGGGAGUUAGUGGGCUAUCAUGUGAUACCGAUUGGCCUUUGUUUUCUGAUUCUUCAUGGAUUUUAGGGGUCGGAACAAAGUUUCCUUUAUGGAAACAGUGGGGACAAAAAGUUACCUUUUCCGGCCGCUCGCGAGCGCUACCAGGCCAACGGCCGCUAGCCAGACGCAUCCUUAAAAGUAUUCUCAGCACCCUUCCGAGGAAGUAAGACAGGAAUAACUGUAUUUUUACUUGUGAUCUCAUCAUCCACAUCCAUAUUUAUCAGUUCGAAAAAACAAUAAAAAUCAAAUGCUCGUACAAUCUAUCACGGCCGGCACAUUUAGAUCCAGAAAGACAAAGAAAAAAAAAUAGAGGACGGCAUGUGAAUGUAUGUGGCGUUUCCAGGAUAAGCUGGCACAGAGGACGCCACCAAUCAGGAUAUACCACACAUUAGAGAAUCGCAUGUAGCGUCCGAGACUAAUUACCACGAGGAACAAAAAUCAUCCUCAGGAAUUGGUAAUGAAUGCGCACCAAAAAAUGUUGUUUUGGGAGGGAAGAUAUAAUGAAGCAUUUCCUCAGUUCAGGUCUCCAAAUUGAUUCCGCACCACACCACAAAAUAGCACAUCAGAAGAACGGAAGUAUUUAAAUUGAUCAUCAUCGGACAGUUUUCAACGUCAGAAAACAUGAGAUAAACAACAAAAUCAAUUGUUUCAGGGCGGGAACAAGAACAAAAAUAUUUAGUUCGAUCAUCUUCAGACGGUUUUCAACAUCAUAUACAGUCAUCAGGAGCCCAAAACAAGGACAAAAUAACAAAAAAUAAACACAAACGAACAAUAUCAGGUAUAUCGUUGCUUCCCUCUAGGUGAUAAUAUCUCAUCAACACAUGAAUCAGAUCACUUUAUUUUACCAGCACAGGUGAUCACAAGGAUGCAUGAACAACAAUCUGCAAUCCACAAACAGACUAGGAAAGAAAAAUUGAACUGCGGUAUCCUCAGCUCUUCCAUACUCAAGAUUUCCAGUAGUUAAGUAGAAUGGAGAUUGAUUGUUGAACGGUAAGAAGCAAAUGCACCUCCAUCAAGCAAAAGAAUAGUCAAUCAAGAGUGAAGAAAGAGGAUCAAGGAAUAACAGAAGGUCGAAUCAGUAGACCUCAGGGAUUAUGCUUAUGAUUUUCAUCAAGGAAGAAAAGUCAGGUCUCAAAGAUGUGGCAUCACUGGACUCGGGAACUUAACUGAAUAAAAAAGGGCCAACUAAAAGUCAUAAACAUAUAAUGAUAAGCAGGAGCAAUUUUGGAGAAUGUUAUUCGCUGCCCCUCACAAUUAAAAGUAGGGGAAGCGACUCAUCCCCAUAAAGUCUGCCCCUGGAAAAAAUCAAGCCCCACAGAUACAUAAAACAAAAGGAUCAACUAAUAAAGGGGGUCUUCAACAUAAUUUGUCCUCAGAAUUGCAGAAUGACAGCAUGGACGCAUAGCAACCAAUCAGUCCCGAAAGAUGGUAUGAUUUAACAGGUUUUUCAUCACCGGAACCAUAAACAAGGUCUAUAUAAGUCAAACCUAAAUUAUUUUAGGGUUGGAAGUCAGAAUUGCAUAUUUGACAACAUGGCAAACAAGAGCGCACCAAUCAGACUCAACAUCGUGACAAUAAUAAUAAUGACGGAAAUGUUGUAUUCAUAAACAAAAAUGCAAAAAUCUAAGCCUUUCAUUAGUUAAGCAGAUAAGCAACGACACCUAAUUAGGCCAACCUAUGUUAACAGUUCAGUGAACGAAUUACACCAACAAACCUGGCAAUAGACCGGGCACACCCAAAAAAAAAACAGGAUUCAAUUAGCCAACAAACCUGUAAUGCACAUAAAUGCAUAAGAAUAGACGAGCUCUUGCCAACCAUUGAAAUGACUAAAGCCCAUGGCAAAACAAACUCUCAAAGAGUUCAAGAAGGAAUUCAAGAUACAAUAUAUUAAAGGUUCCAGAACAAAGACAUUAUCUAGGGCAAAACAUCAUCCAAGGUAAUCGUCUAAACAAGAACACUCCUUAAGAUUCUGGAAAUGGACCAACACAGUAGUAGAAAAGCUAUGGGGGAUCGUUGUGAAGCAGCUUAUCGCUUCUUGGAGACACCAACAGUCUUUCCUCUCCUGCCGGUAGUCUUGGUGUGCUGACCACGGACACGCACGCCCCAGUAGUGACGCAGACCACGAUGGUUCCUGGAAAAGAGGAGGGUUUCAAGCAUAAGUGAUUACUCACGCAUCUAUGCACUAGGACAAGGCUACUGCAACAGUUUAGUCUAAAGGAAUCAGGCAUCACCAUACAUCUCUUGGAAACAAAGCAUUGCUAUACAGAACUACUGGGUCACAUACAAGGUACACCAGAAGGAUACAGAUGAAUAUGUACAAGUAAUAGACAGGCUAGUCCUAACAGAUUGACCAAACUGAACUUUUGUAACCAAAACUGCUACUUGCCUUUAUAACUUGAGAGCAGGGCUUCUCGUUAAUAAGAGUAAAUACAGACAUAUGACAUUGUAUUUUUGCAGAAAAGAAACAUUAAUUCCGAUCUACACAAGCUAACGCUGGACUAGGUUAGGCCUAUUUCACAGGAUAAACCACUACAGAAUGAAGCAGAUGAAGUCAGCACAUGCUACCAGAAAAACACUAUGCACAUCAAGAACAACAGAAUAAACGCGUUUCAGGCAUUCUAAUGUCCGAAGAUCUGCUUAGAGAAACCCACUAUGCCAAUCCCAAGACUAGACUGUAAAGUACUGGAUGAGAUAUCAACUACUGCAGCUACUAAAGCAUGUGCAAGAUGUUAGUUAACAGCAUCAUAACCAGUUGAACCUAGCGCAUAAUCAUCGAUCAACCA
RNAcentral lists this long non-coding RNA (23003 nucleotides) under Triticum aestivum (bread wheat). RNAcentral describes it as "long non-coding RNA (TAES_LNC009260)". The stretch from base 1713 to 1796 matches the Rfam family "MIR9776 microRNA precursor family". The record is from RNAcentral. Lineage: Eukaryota; Viridiplantae; Streptophyta; Magnoliopsida; Poales; Poaceae.